UGCGGAGGGGGCUAGCGUUGUUCGGAAUUACUGGGCGUAAAGCGCACGGGGGCGGACUGGAAAGUCAGGGGUGAAAUCCCGGGGCUCAACCCCGGAACUGCCUUUGAAACUCCCAGUCUUGAGGUCGAGAGAGGUGAGUGGAAUUCCGAGUGUAGAGGUGAAAUUCGUAGAUAUUCGGAGGAACACCAGUGGCGAAGGCGGCUCACUGGCUCGAUACUGACGCUGAGGUGCGAAAGCGUGGGGAGCAAACAGG
This 253-nucleotide ribosomal RNA is filed under the name uncultured bacterium. Its description in RNAcentral is "partial 16S ribosomal RNA". It matches the Rfam family "Bacterial small subunit ribosomal RNA", at positions 524 to 776 of the family's 1533-position model. The record is from RNAcentral.